GCCAGUGAGGCAGAGUGGCUUAGGUGCUGGACUGCCACUCUGGAGACCAGGGUUUGAUUCCCCACUCGGCCA
This is a non-coding RNA of Phrynosoma platyrhinos (Desert horned lizard), 72 nucleotides long. The record is from the annotation of a GenBank genome assembly. Lineage: Eukaryota; Metazoa; Chordata; Lepidosauria; Squamata; Phrynosomatidae.